AUUUCGGAUAUGCUAGUGGCGGACGGGUGAGUAACGCGUGAACAAUCUGCCCUGUACACAGGAACUAGCCUCGGGAAACUGGGAUUAAAACCGGAUAACACUUCUUGGUCGCAUGACUUGGAAGUCAAAUUGAUUUAGAGGUACAGGAUGAGUUCGCGUCUGAUUAGCUAGUUGGUGAGGUAAUGGCUCACCAAGGCGACGAUCAGUAGCCGGCCUGAGAGGGUGAACGGCCACACUGGAACUGAGACACGGUCCAGACUCCUACGGGAGGCAGCAGUAGGGAAUAUUGCACAAUGGAGGAAACUCUGAUGCCAGCGACGCCGCGUGAGUGAAGAAGGUCUUCGGAUCGUAAAACUCUGUCCUUGGUGAAGAAUAAAAUGACGGUAGCCAAGGAGGAAGCCCCGGCUAACUACGUGCCAGCAGCCGC
RNAcentral lists this ribosomal RNA (427 nucleotides) under uncultured bacterium. RNAcentral's name for it is "bacterial SSU rRNA". It matches the Rfam family "Bacterial small subunit ribosomal RNA", at positions 80 to 518 of the family's 1533-position model. The record is from RNAcentral.